This 2127-nucleotide ribosomal RNA is filed under the name Staphylococcus pseudintermedius. Its description in RNAcentral is "partial 23S ribosomal RNA". It matches the Rfam family "Bacterial large subunit ribosomal RNA", at positions 440 to 2572 of the family's 2925-position model. The record is from RNAcentral. Lineage: Bacteria; Bacillati; Bacillota; Bacilli; Caryophanales; Staphylococcaceae.
GAAUCUGGGAGGACCAUCUCCUAAGGCUAAAUACUCUCUAGUGACCGAUAGUGAACCAGUACCGUGAGGGAAAGGUGAAAAGUACCCCGGAAGGGGAGUGAAAGAGAACUUGAAACCGUGUGCUUACAAGUAGUCAGAGCCCGUUAAUGGGUGAUGGCGUGCCUUUUGUAGAAUGAACCGGCGAGUUACGAUCUGAUGCAAGGUUAAGCAGAAAAUGUGGAGCCGUAGCGAAAGCGAGUCUGAAUAGGGCGAAUGAGUAUUUGGUCGUAGACCCGAAACCAGGUGAUCUACCCUUGGUCAGGUUGAAGUUCAGGUAACACUGAAUGGAGGACCGAACCGACUUACGUUGAAAAGUGAGCGGAUGAACUGAGGGUAGCGGAGAAAUUCCAAUCGAACUUGGAGAUAGCUGGUUCUCUCCGAAAUAGCUUUAGGGCUAGCCUCAAGUGAUGAUUAUUGGAGGUAGAGCACUGUUUGGACGAGGGGCCCCUCUCGGGUUACCGAAUUCAGACAAACUCCGAAUGCCAAAUAAUUUAACUUGGGAGUCAGAAUGUGGGUGAUAAGGUCCAUAUUCGAAAGGGAAACAGCCCAGACCACCAGCUAAGGUCCCAAAAUAUAUGUUAAGUGGAAAAGGAUGUGGCGUUGCCCAGACAACUAGGAUGUUGGCUUAGAAGCAGCCAUCAUUUAAAGAGUGCGUAAUAGCUCACUAGUCGAGUGACACUGCGCCGAAAAUGUACCGGGGCUAAACAUAUUACCGAAGCUGUGGAUUGUCCUUUGGACAAUGGUAGGAGAGCGUUCUAAGGGCGUUGAAGCAUGAUCGCAAGGACAUGUGGAGCGCUUAGAAGUGAGAAUGCCGGUGUGAGUAGCGAAAGACGGGUGAGAAUCCCGUCCACCGAUUGACUAAGGUUUCCAGAGGAAGGCUCGUCCGCUCUGGGUUAGUCGGGUCCUAAGCUGAGGCCGACAGGCGUAGGCGAUGGAUAACAGGUUGAUAUUCCUGUACCACCAUUAUUCGUUUUAAGCGAUGGGGGGACGCAGUAGGAUAGGCGAAGCGUGCUGUUGGAGUGCACGUCCAAGCAGUGAGAUUGAGUGUUAGGCAAAUCCGGCACUCUUAAGAUUGAGCUGUGAUGGGGAGAGGAACUUGUUCCUCGAGUCGUUGAUUUCACACUGCCGAGAAAAGCCUCUAGCUAGAAUAACGGUGCCCGUACCGCAAACCGACACAGGUAGUCAAGAUGAGAAUUCUAAGGUGAGCGAGCGAACUCUCGUUAAGGAACUCGGCAAAAUGACCCCGUAACUUCGGGAGAAGGGGUGCUCUUUGAGGUUCACGCUUCGAAGAGCCGCAGUGAAUAGGCCCAAGCGACUGUUUAUCAAAAACACAGGUCUCUGCUAAACCGUAAGGUGACGUAUAGGGGCUGACGCCUGCCCGGUGCUGGAAGGUUAAGAGGAGUGGUUAGCGCAAGCGAAGCUACGAAUCGAAGCCCCAGUAAACGGCGGCCGUAACUAUAACGGUCCUAAGGUAGCGAAAUUCCUUGUCGGGUAAGUUCCGACCCGCACGAAAGGCGUAACGAUUUGGGCACUGUCUCAACGAGAGACUCGGUGAAAUCAUAGUACCGGUGAAGAUGCCGGUUACCCGCGACAGGACGGAAAGACCCCGUGGAGCUUUACUGUAGCCUGAUAUUGAAAUUCGGUACAGUUUGUACAGGAUAGGUAGGAGCCUUAGAAGCGUGAGCGCUAGCUUACGUGGAGGCAUUGGUGGGAUACUACCCUAAUUGUAUUGGAUUUCUAACCCGCAGCACUUAUCGUGCUGGGAGACAGUGUCAGGCGGGCAGUUUGACUGGGGCGGUCGCCUCCUAAAGAGUAACGGAGGCGCUCAAAGGUUCCCUCAGAAUGGUUGGAAAUCAUUCAUAGAGUGUAAAGGCAUAAGGGAGCUUGACUGCGAGACCUACAAGUCGAGCAGGGUCGAAAGACGGACUUAGUGAUCCGGUGGUUCCGCAUGGAAGGGCCAUCGCUCAACGGAUAAAAGCUACCCCGGGGAUAACAGGCUUAUCUCCCCCAAGAGUUCACAUCGACGGGGAGGUUUGGCACCUCGAUGUCGGCUCAUCGCAUCCUGGGGCUGUAGUCGGUCCCAAGGGU